Molecule: long non-coding RNA, 893 nt
Filed under: Physcomitrium patens
Lineage: Eukaryota; Viridiplantae; Streptophyta; Bryopsida; Funariales; Funariaceae
Description: long non-coding RNA (PPAT_LNC013303)
Source: RNAcentral
AUUGGUAUGUUGCCACUAUGGCAUGUACAAAUGCAAUCGAAGGAAAAAUAAAUAGAUAAAUAAAUAAAUAACUUCUGAAACUAACAUUUACCCGAAACAAACUACACUUGGAAAAUAAAAAUAUACUUCUUAAAAUGUUCUGAUGACAAAUAAAAAUUAAAAAUCUGGCUUAGUGAAAGUCCAGCAGUCCAUAUUCUUCACAAACCCAAAAAAAAGCCUAGUGGCUGAUCACACCUCACGAGUCAAGGGUGAAACCGGCAGAGUUAGAAUGAGCAAAGUCCAGGCUAUCCAUCCAUCCCAUCAUACUUCAUCCAAACGUACCCCCACCCAUCCAUCCAUCCACAACUUCAUCCAUAUAAAACCCCAUUCAUGCAUUCAUUCAUGGCCCAGCCAAUCUUGAAGGAUCCUGGGAGCUAAGGUAGAGUAAGUGAAGUCACACGUGAUCACUCGGGCAAGCACAGAACCCAACAAUCCCUCACACACACACACACACACACACAGUCACUCGCACACACAGAGAGACAGACAGACAGUGGGCUCUGUUUCCCUUGCCUCACACACUCACAGACACUCUCACUCUCUGUCUGUCUGUCUGUCUCUCUCUCUCUCUUUCACUCACAUACCACUAAGUUUAAGGACUUGCAAGCCAGGCCAUCCUCCUUCUCACUCACUCACUCUCUCUCCUACAGCCUUUGCCUACAGCACAAGAGCUCUGGCAGUAGCAGAAGCAGCAGGAGCAGCAACCCUAUAUCAUCUCAAAUCAAAAAAGCCAUACAUAUGAAACAGAGGUAGUUUCAUCACCUGGAUGGUGAGGGAAAGCUUCGGAAGAAGAAGAAGAAGCCUGUUGCAUCAUGUGAAAGUUACCAUACAACUCUAUCACCACUGCCUCCACC